This 253-nucleotide ribosomal RNA is filed under the name uncultured bacterium. Its description in RNAcentral is "partial 16S ribosomal RNA". It matches the Rfam family "Bacterial small subunit ribosomal RNA", at positions 524 to 776 of the family's 1533-position model. The record is from RNAcentral.
UACGGAGGGGGCUAGCGUUGUUCGGAAUUACUGGGCGUAAAGCGUGCGUAGGUGGUGAGUUAAGUCUGUCGUGAAAGCCCCGGGCUCAACCUGGGAAUGGCGAUGGAUACUGGCUCGCUAGAGUGCGGUAGAGGAGAGUGGAAUUCCCGGUGUAGCAGUGAAAUGCGUAGAGAUCGGGAGGAACAUCAGUUGCGAAGGCGGCUCUCUGGACCAGCACUGACACUGAGGCACGAAAGCGUGGGGAGCAAACAGG